Molecule: ribosomal RNA, 178 nt
Filed under: Boehmeria clidemioides var. diffusa
Lineage: Eukaryota; Viridiplantae; Streptophyta; Magnoliopsida; Rosales; Urticaceae
Description: 5.8S ribosomal RNA
Rfam family: 5.8S ribosomal RNA (bases 25-178)
About the family: 5.8S ribosomal RNA (5.8S rRNA) is a component of the large subunit of the eukaryotic ribosome. It is transcribed by RNA polymerase I as part of the 45S precursor that also contains 18S and 28S rRNA. Functionally, it is thought that 5.8S rRNA may be involved in ribosome translocation.
Source: RNAcentral
GCUAAUUUAAUAGAGCGUCGCAAUGACUCUCGGCAACGGAUAUCUCGGCUCUCGCAUCGAUGAAGAACGUAGCGAAAUGCGAUACUUGGUGUGAAUUGCAGAAUCCCGUGAACCAUCGAGUCUUUGAACGCAAGUUGCGCCCGAAGCCUUUCGGCCGAGGGCACGUCUGCCUGGGCGU